GACGAACGCUGGCGGCGUGCUUAACACAUGCAAGUCGAACGGAAAGGCCCUGCUAUUGUGGGGUGCGCGAGUGGCGAACGGGUGAGUAACACGUGAGUAACCUGCCCUGGACUUUGGGAUAACUUCAGGAAACUGGGGCUAAUACCGGAUAGGAGCACCUGCUGCAUGGUGGGUGAUGGAAAGUGUCGGCGGUUGGGGAUGGACUCGCGGCUUAUCAGAUUGUUGGUGGGGUAGUGGCUUACCAAGGCUUUGACCGGUAGACGGCCUGAGAGGGUGACCGGCCCCAUUGGGACGGAGCUGCGGCCCAGACUCCUCCGGGAGGGAGGAGUGCGGAAUAGUGCACUAUGGGCGGAAGCCUGAUGCAGCAACGCCGCGUGGGGGAUAACGGCCUUCGGGUUGUAACCCGCUUUCGCCUGUGACGAAGCGUGAGUGACGGUAAUGGGUAAAGAAGCACCGGCUAACUACGUG
RNAcentral lists this ribosomal RNA (468 nucleotides) under uncultured bacterium. RNAcentral's name for it is "partial 16S ribosomal RNA". It matches the Rfam family "Bacterial small subunit ribosomal RNA", at positions 28 to 507 of the family's 1533-position model. The record is from RNAcentral.